UACGGAGGAUUCGAGCGUUAUCCGGAUUUAUUGGGUUUAAAGGGUGCGUAGGCGGACCUUUAAGUCAGAGGUGAAAUCCUGCAGCUUAACUGUAGAACUGCCUUUGAAACUGAAGGUCUUGAAUAUGGACGAGGUAGGCGGAAUGAGUUAUGUAGCGGUGAAAUGCAUAGAUAUAACUCAGAACACCGAUUGCGUAGGCAGCUUACCAGACCAUAAUUGACGCUGAUGCACGAAAGCGUGGGUAGCGAACAGG
Molecule: ribosomal RNA, 253 nt
Filed under: uncultured bacterium
Lineage: Bacteria
Description: partial 16S ribosomal RNA
Rfam family: Bacterial small subunit ribosomal RNA
Source: RNAcentral